RNAcentral lists this ribosomal RNA (497 nucleotides) under uncultured bacterium. Its description in RNAcentral is "partial 16S ribosomal RNA". It matches the Rfam family "Bacterial small subunit ribosomal RNA", at positions 28 to 507 of the family's 1533-position model. The record is from RNAcentral.
GAUGAACGCUGGCGGCGUGCCUAAUACAUGCAAGUCGAGCGAACGGACGCGACGCUUGCUUCUCUGAUGUUAGCGGCGGACGGGUGAGUAACACGUGGAUAACCUACCUAUAAGACUGGGAUAACUUCGGGAAACCGUAGCUAAUACCGGAUAAUAUUUUGAACCGCAUGGUUCAAUAGUGAAAGACGGUCUUGCUGUCACUUAUAGAUGGAUCCGCGCUGCAUUAGCUAGUUGGUAAGGUAACGGCUUACCAAGGCAACGAUGCAUAGCCGACCUGAGAGGGUGAUCGGCCACACUGGAACUGAGACACGGUCCAGACUCCUACGGGAGGCAGCAGUAGGGAAUCUUCCGCAAUGGGCGAAAGCCUGACGGAGCAACGCCGCGUGAGUGAUGAAGGUCUUCGGAGCGUAAAACUCUGUUAUUAGGGAAGAACAUAUGUGUAAGUAACUGUGCACAUCUUGACGGUACCUAAUCAGAAAGCCACGGCUAACUACGUG